This 253-nucleotide ribosomal RNA is filed under the name uncultured bacterium. RNAcentral's name for it is "partial 16S ribosomal RNA". It matches the Rfam family "Bacterial small subunit ribosomal RNA", at positions 524 to 776 of the family's 1533-position model. The record is from RNAcentral.
GACGAACCGUGCGAACGUUGUUCGGAAUCACUGGGCUUAAAGGGCGCGUAGGCGGGCUGCCAAGUCAGGGGUGAAAGCCCACGGCUCAACCGUGGAAGUGCCUUUGAUACUGGCGGUCUCGAGGGAAGUAGGGGCGUGCGGAACUUCCGGUGGAGCGGUGAAAUGCGUAGAUAUCGGAAGGAACACCGGUGGCGAAAGCGGCGCGCUGGACUUCUACUGACGCUGAGGCGCGAAAGCCAGGGGAGCAAACGGG